UGCUUUUCUUUGCCAACUUUAGUGUGUUUACGGGCCAUCUGCAUUUCUUCUUUGGCAAAUUGCCCACUAUCUUAGUCCAUUUAUGCUGCUAUAACAAAUACGGGAGACUGGGUAAUGUUUAAAUAACCGAAAUUUAUUUCUCGCAGUUCUGGAGCUCGGAAAGUUCAAGAUCAAGUUGCUGGCAUCUGGUAAGGGCCUUCUUGCAGCAUCCUCACAUGGCACCACACAGAAGGGCAAGAGAGCAAGCUAGCUGAACGCUGUGUGAAGCCUCUUUUAUAAAGGCCUUCAUCCUAUUAACGUGGAAAAAGAUUUCAUGACGUAAUCACCUUGGAGAGGCCCCACUCCUUAAUAUUAGCACAUUGGCAACAUCUGAAUUUUGGAGAGGAUACAUUCAAACCAUAGCACACCCUUAUAUAUUUUCUUUUGAAAGAGGAUGACUUUUAAAUUGCAUCGCACCUGUUCAAAAGCUGAGAGGAAGCACAGAGACCACAUACUGGAGAUGCUUUCAUGUGAACUGGAAGCUAUCAUUGCAUCAAAGCUUGAGCCAGGGAGAGGAUGAUCUAGCACCGUACUGAAACUGCAGAUACAGCCAGCUCUAGGCAAAGUUGUGAAGGAAGAAAACUUGGUCACCUUCCUGCAUUGAUUCUCCUCUUUUAUGGCAUUCUUCCUUCUAAGCCAGUCAGUGAGUGCAUUCCUGGAAUAUUUAUUUAAAGGAAAUUUCUAGAAACCUGGUAGAUUAUGCUUACUUUAUGAAGAAAGCAAUAGUUAAUUUGAAAAAUCCUAAUCAUUACAUGUGGAAUUUCAGCAAUUAACAAGGCAUUGAGGAGGGCUGGGGAAACUUUACUAGCCCUUUUCCCCAGUAUCUCUUCUAUUAUACCCAAACACUUUGAGAUAUGAAUUAACAUCCCCAUUUUACAGAUAAGAAGAUAGACUCAUUGAAGUUGACUUGUCCUGACUUCAAAGACCGUAAAUCAGAAGAACCAGGAUUUGUCACCUGCCUGACUCAAAACUUACUCUUUUUCUUUACAUCCUAUGACGUCAGUGGGUGAGACCAAAUAACCUCAGAGUUUCAGAUAUGAAGAGAAGCAAACAAGUUAUUAUAUUCUUCAUUCUUUAUUUGGAUGUUAUUUGUCAAGAAGGCAGGCCAUGGAAAGUUUUGUCCAAUACCAAUGAAAUAUAAGUUCUAAUAAAGACUAUUAGAAGAUACAGUGAUCUAGCAUACUGGUUACAAGCCAGAGAUGUGGAAGAGAUUGCCUGUGCUCUUAUC
RNAcentral lists this long non-coding RNA (1267 nucleotides) under Macaca mulatta (Rhesus monkey). Its description in RNAcentral is "lncRNA (ENSMMUG00000047354.2)". Lineage: Eukaryota; Metazoa; Chordata; Mammalia; Primates; Cercopithecidae. The record is from RNAcentral.